GGAAUUCAAGACGGCUGGCGGGUCUCGCGCUCGUUCGGCCGUUCGAUAUUUCCGUCGCCGUGUCAGACGUCGCGACCUGUUUGUCGUCGGUCCUUGCUCGGAGGAAUUGCGAUCGAGUUCGUUGCGGGCGCGUUUCGGCGUGCUCCGCGGCGAAGACGCGACUCUCUGGCUGACGACGGACAGUAAGCAACGGUGUCUGGCGCCGUGUCUCGCACUCGGCGUCGGUGCCGGUCAGCGACGAUUUCUUCGGGCCUCUUUCCGACCCGUCUUGAAACACGGACCAAGGAGUCUAACAUGCGCGCGAGUCGCGGGGUUUCGAGCGUACCACGGUGCGCUCGUUACUUCCGAAACCCGUACGUUGAAGGCGUAAUGAAAGUGAAUAGGGAAGAUGGCGUUCCGAGUCCACGUACCGUGAUCGAGUAUCGCGGCCGGACGUCCGCACUCCCGGGGCGUCUCAAUGGUUCGCCGCGGACGCGGACGAUCGUCUUUCGGGGCGGUCGUCGGUCUGUGGCGGUCCGA
Molecule: ribosomal RNA, 519 nt
Filed under: Chionaspis nyssae
Lineage: Eukaryota; Metazoa; Arthropoda; Insecta; Hemiptera; Diaspididae
Description: eukaryotic LSU rRNA
Source: RNAcentral